This 890-nucleotide long non-coding RNA is filed under the name Toxoplasma gondii VEG. The record is from RNAcentral. Lineage: Eukaryota; Apicomplexa; Conoidasida; Eucoccidiorida; Sarcocystidae.
GUUUGUUUCGGCAUUUUCCUCGCAUACAUCUGAUGCAGCGAGUGUCACCUUUCGCCCCUAUCUAUCGAAGACGAACAGAAGGGAGUUUUGGUUGGCAUCUUUGUCCUCGCUGUUGUGGCUGUCUUACGAAGAAUCUCACCACCUUGAAAGUCAUCAACAGACGUGGCGUUGUUGUGAGAGCGCCUUUGGUGGAAAAGUGCUAUCUGACGUUUUUGUGUAUCCACAGAAGUCGAAACUAGUCUCUCAAUGGACAUCUCCAUCCAGCUUUUGUCCGACUCAACGGGGCAAAGAGCCUUUUCUGCAGUUGAGAGACAACAUCGCCCCGAGAAGGGUUUGAAAGGGCGUCACAUGAACAAUCUACGGGGGAAAUCAGGCACAGGUCUCAGAAACCGGCAGUGUAGUGAGCACGCUCUAACAGCUUCUUCAUUGCUAGUUACGAUGGGAGAAGACGCAAUGUUUUGCUUGUAUCAACACUGUCAUACCUUCCCAUGUAUUGUGCCCGAUAACACGCAUCAAUAAGGCUAUGACUCCAAACAGGCGUGCGGAAAUCAAUUUACUUAAGCAUCUGUCCUCAAUUCCAGCUGGAGAAAGCUGCCAUAUUUUGUACGAGUGAUAUUGUGUUUCUUCAGUACUGGUGGUAGUGUGUCCCAUGUACUCACGCACAUCGCCUACCAAUUCAGGCCCAAGCCAUAUAGAAAAACGUGGCAUGGUGAUGCGUACCGUGUUUGAAACUUUCUUCUCUGCACCAGAGCAAGAAGGGGAAAAGGAGUGUAACUAAGACUGGUGUAUCGUAUUCCACAGAGGGGGCUCACCCGCUAACUUGGUUCUAACGUCUCCCCAAGCCUCUAGAAGACGGAACUCAGGAUAGCGACUCAUGACCUCAAUUUGCU